This 444-nucleotide ribosomal RNA is filed under the name uncultured bacterium. RNAcentral's name for it is "bacterial SSU rRNA". It matches the Rfam family "Bacterial small subunit ribosomal RNA", at positions 39 to 492 of the family's 1533-position model. The record is from RNAcentral.
GGCCGCGGGAAUUCGAUUCAGGCCUAACACAUGCAAGUCGAGCGGUAGAGAGAAGCUUGCUUCUCUUGAGAGCGGCGGACGGGUGAGUAAUGCCUAGGAAUCUACCUGGUAGUGGGGGAUAACGUUCGGAAACGGACGCUAAUACCGCAUACGUCCUACGGGAGAAAGCAGGGGACCUUCGGGCCUUGCGCUAUCAGAUGAGCCUAGGUCGGAUUAGCUAGUUGGUGAGGUAAUGGCUCACCAAGGCGACGAUCCGUAACUGGUCUGAGAGGAUGAUCAGUCACACUGGAACUGAGACACGGUCCAGACUCCUACGGGAGGCAGCAGUGGGGAAUAUUGAACGAUGGGCGAAAGCCUGAUGCAGCAACGCCGCGUGAGCAAUGGAGGCCUUCGGGUCGUAAAGCUCUGUCCUCAAGGAAGAUAAUGACGGUACUGAGAGAAGCC